AAAAACACCUUUGUCCAGUACUUAUUCAAUUCUGUGUAGUGGUCACAUUUCAAUAACGCAUGUAAAACUAAAAAAUAAUCUAGAGAGAAACAAAAGGGUUGUUUUGAGGACAAGCUCAAGUGAUCAGUUGCCAUUGUGGGCCUUGUUUUCCCAACUGAGUGUCUG
This is a long non-coding RNA of Syngnathus acus (greater pipefish), 165 nucleotides long. RefSeq lists it as uncharacterized. The transcript is spliced from 3 exons. NCBI's taxonomy places the organism in Eukaryota, Metazoa, Chordata, Actinopteri, Syngnathiformes, Syngnathidae. The record is from RefSeq and is a predicted model, not a curated record.